UACGAAGGGGGCUAGCGUUGUUCGGAAUUACUGGGCGUAAAGGGCGCGUAGGCGGCCUUGUUAGUCGAGUGUGAAAGCCCUGGGCUUAACCCGGGAAGCGCGCUUGAUACUGCAGGGCUUGAGUGUGGGAGAGGAUGGUGGAAUUCCCAGUGUAGAGGUGAAAUUCGUAGAUAUUGGGAAGAACACCAGUGGCGAAGGCGACCAUCUGGACCACAACUGACGCUGAGGCGCGAAAGCGUGGGGAGCAAACAGGAUUAGAAACCCCAGUAGUCC
Molecule: ribosomal RNA, 273 nt
Filed under: uncultured bacterium
Lineage: Bacteria
Description: partial 16S ribosomal RNA
Rfam family: Bacterial small subunit ribosomal RNA
Source: RNAcentral